UCUGUUGUGAAUCCUGCCCACUUCUUUGCAUGGUCAGCACAUGCUUCAGUGCUCUGAGAGUGUUUAUAGAGCUGUGAGUUUAACACUUCAUGACUGAGAGCAGAACAGAACACAAUCUUCAUCAUCACACAAGACACAACAACAACAAUGAACAACAUCAUCAUCCUCAUCUGGACCACUGCAGCUUUUAUUCAAGGAUCCAGUGGACUCACUGUGACUCAGCCUAAAAUUAAAACGGUCCAACAAAGUCAAAGAGUUACAAUAGAGUGCAGUACAGAUGUGGGGAUAAACUAUGACAACUUAGCCUGGUAUCAGCAGAAACCUGGAGAAACUCCUAAACUCCUCAUUCAUGAUAUAAGAAGCCUUUAUACAGGAACUCCAUCUAGAUUCAGUGGCAGUGGAUCUAGCGGAGGAAAAGAUUUCACUCUGACCAUCAGUGGAGUCCAGACUGAAGAUACAGGAGAUUAUUACUGUCAGAGUGAACACUAUAUCAGUAGUAGCUAUGUGUUCACACAGUGAUAAAGAGUCGUACAAAAACCUCCGUCAGUCAGAGUCACAGUGACUGCACUGAUACAGCUGAGAGACACUGCAGCUGCUGAUGGAGGAUGUUUUACAUACAAAUUGGUGUAGCAAAUUUAACAAAACUUUAAAUGUCUAAAUUAAGAUAAAAAUAAUGAAAUAUACAAUUAACAAAAUGUUAACGUUUUUACAUUACUUAUACAAUUGUUGCGGUGGUGGUGCUAAGAAGAAUCAGAUUAAGGAGAUUAUGUAAAAAAAAAAAAGAAAAGAAAAAAAGAUUAACCAAAUUAAUAAUCUGAUGGGGUUAGUUCGGGCGCCAGACAAGCUCAGUCUUGCCAAAAUAGCUCUUAAAACCAUCGGUUACAAAAUCAAUUUGAAUGAAAAUGUCCACACAAAAUAAGUUUCAAAAGGUUUUAAAGUUGUAUUGAAGGAAAAAACAGAAAAACUUUCCAGUUCAAAUGUAACUUCAGUUUCACAGAGAAAUACAGAAUCAAACAGAAAACUUAGUAAUUUUGUUUAUAUUCAUAUUUUAACAAUCCACCAAAGUUCAAAGAUUUGCAAAACAAAAGAAACAAAACAGAUUAAUUACACCAAUUUUGUAGUCCAACAAUGGAAAGGAAAUAGAACUUGAGAGAAAAAUGGAAGGUGCCUCUAAGGUAGCAGCUUCACUGACCCUCGAGAUAAAAUGUGUCGAAAG
Molecule: non-coding RNA, 1216 nt
Organism: Carassius auratus (goldfish)
Lineage: Eukaryota; Metazoa; Chordata; Actinopteri; Cypriniformes; Cyprinidae
Source: the annotation of a RefSeq genome assembly